ACCCGGAAUCUCUCUAUUGCUCUAGUUGUCAUGUCAAAAAACUACUUAGACAGACUAUGAAGAGAUACAUAGGGUGAGAAACGGAGGCCUUCAGCCAACAGCUGGGAGAAGCUGAGUCCCAUCAGCCAUUCAAAAGACUGCAGCCCCAGCCAAGAGUUUGAUGUAACCUCAGGAGAGACCCUGAGCCAGAACCACCUAGAAAAGCUGGGAUACAUGAAGACUGCCAUCCCUUGAGUCACUUGCCCUGUAGCUGCCACUGUUGGAAAAGGGCUUGCUUCUGUGUCCUUGUGCCCACUUUGAAAAUCCCUGGGAAGUCCUUGGAGUCAGAUGAGCAGGCCUCCGCCACUCUGCCAAAAAGUCUGUUCAAUCAGGAGUCCCCAACCCCUGAGCCAUGGACUGAUAUGGAGCUAUGGUCUGUUAGGAACUGGGCUGCCCAGGAGGAGCAAUGGUGCUUCUACAAUUUCCUUAUAGGAGGAGUGAAGAGUAAGCAUUUGGAUUGGACCAGGAUUUGGAGAACUUGUCAUGUUGCUCUACGUGCAUAUGAAAUACAUCAUUGUAACUUAGAAUGUGAAUUACAGAACAAACAUGAAAGUUAGAAAAAUAUUCUAAACAUAUUUUUAUGAUCUCUACUUGCAAUAAGGAAACUGUUAGGCUUUUCCAUCAAAGAAUAAGUGCAACAAAAACAAAAAUUUCUGGAUGGAAAAAAGGAGAUUUGAGGGGCAAGGCUAAAGCCCCCCAAACCUUCCUCAGGAUGAACACAAACCCCAUCUUUAUUUUCCUGUUGCCACUGUUCCAUGUUGCUGGGCUCUAUUCCAGCAAAAUUUUGGAAAGCGUUGCUACAGUUCUGCUCAUUUCUUUCUCACUUCAGAACAAUGAUGCCCUUUCCAGAUAAAGCAUCUUAAUUAAACAGAUGACAUUUGAACUAGACCUUGAAGAACAGGUCAGAGUUAUAUUGGGAAAGAAGUAGGAGAGGAACACCCAGAAAAUAACAUUUAUGAACAUAAAGGCACAGAAUAUAAAUGUCUCUGACAAAGACAGAAAUCAAGGGUAAAUUUUAGUGUGGCAUAGAUUAAUUCACUAACUCAAUAUAUAUAUAUUUACAUAGAGAGCAUGGAUAGAUACUAGAAAUAAAACAAUGGAUUAGACAUGGGCAACCUCAUGAUGUUUAGCAAAUAUUGUGUUCUUUAAGGCAGCAGUUCCCAACCUUUUUGGUACUAGGGACCGGUUACGUGGAAGACAAUUUUUCCACAGACUGGGAUGGGGGGACUGUUUUCAAGACAAUUCAAGCACGUUACAUUUAUGGUGCACUUUAUUUCUAUUAUUACUGCAUUGUAAUACAUAAUGAAAUAAGUACACAACUCACCAUAAUGUGGCAUCAUUGGAAGCCCUGAGCGUGCUUUCCUGCAACUAGACAGUUCCCUCUGGGGCCAAUGGGAAACAAUGACAGAUCAUCAGGCAUUAGAUUCUCAUGAGGAGCCCGCAACCUACAUCCCUCACAUGCACAGUCCACAAUAGGAUUCAUGCGCCUAUGAGAAUCUAGUGUCAUGGCUGGCAGAUAUAACAGAAGAUGGAGUUCAGGCGAUAAUGUGAGUAAGAGGGAGCGGCCAGAAAUACAGAUGAAACUUCACUCACUCACUUGCCACUCACCUCCUGGUCUGCGUCCUGGUUCCUAACGGGCCAUGGAUAGUUACAAGUCUGUGGCCCAGGGGGUUGAAGACCCCUGCCCUAGAGUACAUAUGCAGUGGAUGUUGAGAAACAGAUUAAUUCAUUAAUGCAGAGUCUUCAUAUUCCAAACAAAAGAUUUGAGGGUUUUAUCUGUUAUAACAACACUUGUGUUUCACUAAUUAUGUCAGGCACGACUCUAAUAACUUCAAAUUUAUUCACUCACCUAUUAUUAGAACAACAUUAUGAUAUAGGAAUACACUUGAUAUGUCCAUUAUACUGAUGAGGAGAUUCAGACAUAGAGUAGUUAUUUAACUUGGGUAAGGUCUUCAGAGCUAAUAAGAGGAAGAACCAGGACUUGAGCAUGGGUAGGGUGGCUUCAGAGUGGUAGUCUGGCUGUUUGUUUGUAAUCACCAAAAUGAAGCUACAGUGAUGUUUCAGUUUACAUAACAGAGUCCUGAGGCUUAAAGAUGCCAGGAAAUUAAUUUAAAGAUAUUGUAGUACGUAUCCCUGUCCAGACUAGAACUCCAGUCCAGGAGAACGCCAGUGCUCCUUCUGUUUCACAUAGAGAACACAUCAGUACUGUGACACACAGAAAGGUUUUAGUGGGAUGCUUGGUUAAGAGAAAUACGUUUACAACAAAAGAGGUGAUACUGUUGCUUGUCUUAGAAAAAUAUGGGAGACCUCAAUCAGCUGAAGUUCAACAUGUUCAAAGGUGGACAAAGUUUCUCGUUGCUCUAAGUAAGUUUAAAAUUGAGCCAAAAAGGUCUUGAUUGAUAAGGGUGGCUGAUACAUUUUUGAAUGUUUUCACUGGCAUGAUUCACAAAAUUGUAUAAAUUGUAUAGUCCCAGGCUAUCCCACCAUUAACUGCCUCAUGGGGACUGUCUCUAACUUCCCCAGGACUUGAUCCAUAGGGAAAUGCUUGCAAGAAUAAAAAGCAUUAAUGAAUUCAGGAUUCGUUUCUCACUAAACAGCAGUUUGGGGUGAUGUCACACACACACACACACACACACACACACAAAAAUGGAACAAGCCAGCCCCAUUUUCAGCAUUGCCUCAUUUAAGCUUGGCACACAAAGACAAUUGAUGCUGACUCAGAGUUAUUUCAAGAUGGAAAGAGUGUCCUGAAUUAUCACACCCCACGUAAUCCUAGCCACCCUGUAUUCCUUCUCCUUACUGUCCCAUAGGUGGGUACAUCCAUCCCAGAUAACAAGGUUUGACUCAUUUAAGGCCCUUUUCCUUCUGCACAAGAUCCUGAAAUUUUCCCUACCGUGUGUGUUUGAUGGUGCAGAAGAAAUAAUUCUCAAAAAUAAACUAGUUUAUCAUUAGAUGGAAGCAAGGUAUCACCUUUAUUAAUGAGAAAGCAGAGUUUGAAGGACAUAGUGCAUUCCUCAUGCAGCUAGACCCUCUGCUAUUGGCUCCUGCCUUUAAAUUAGAAAGCCUUACUUUUCCAUCUGCAGGUAUUGCUAUCCCUUUACAAGCCUCUGCUCCCACGGAAAGAAAAUUGUGCAACAUACGACAAAAAGCAAUAGAGGCUUCAGACUCUCCAAAAAGAAAAAGAAAUUAUGUCAAGAAUGUAGUUUAUUAUUUCCCAAUUGACUCUAAGAUUAAAUUGACUCUAAGAUUAGUCAGUAACUUUUCCAUGAUGUAAUGAGUAAUGAGACAGAGAGAAGCAGAGUGUUCCACUAAUUGAUCUCAAUCCACAAGAAAGGAAAAGUAUUUCCUCCUUCCUUCCUCCACAUUGUGUUCUCUUAGAACUGUGCUUUACUUGCCCAGGGAAAAGAACACAAGUUGAGUUUAAGAAGCCAGUUCUUCCCAUUCCAAGAUGAGGCCCCACAUCCAAUGCUAACACUACUUCUUGGAGUGAAUACACUUUAGAACUAUCAAUGAAUGAACUGAGCUGAACUUCCCCAACCCCUGUAGACUCUAAAAUGGGUCAGAAGAGCACAUUGGUUAAAACAAGUCUAAGGCUGAAAAUUUAAUCUCUAUUUGAUUUUCUGGCUUACAUUUUUUUUCUCAGUAACCUUGCCAAAAUAGCCUAGUAGGAGAUCCAUUUUGAACUUGAGUGAUAACAUAAUUAUACUCGAAUCACAAAAUGUCAAUAAUGAGAUGACCCACAUUUAAAUAACAUAUUUUUUUGCUACUAUAACAUUACUGGGCCUAUAUUAAAAUAGAAAGAUUAAAUUAUUUUGCAACUUACUUAAAGUAUAAAUAUAAUGCUUCCAAAGAAUUAAGGGCCAAAUCAUUUUUUUUCCUGAUACUUGUGAGGUAAAAUUUAACAGAUUUUAAAGUCCCCACUCAUUUAAUUUUUUGGCCACUUGGUGUCAGCUGGAAGAGUUCUCAAUACAUUGGACAAGACAGUGAUCUCUAAGCAUUUGAAAAUUGAGCUCUUUCUCAUUGGAAGGGGUGUAUUUUCUUCUUCAUGGUCUCAGAGGUUGUAUUUGUUUAACACUGAGUCUCUGAAGUUCUUCACUAUUUAAAAAAUUCCAAGAAGUUACUGUUAAAGAAAAGAUUAUCAUAGCAAUGGCAUUUAUUCUGAGAACUGGAUAAACAGCAAUCCAUCACGGCUUCUAGAAGAGUUUUCACAGAGAAAAAUAUUUUCAACCUGAUCAUUUGUAUUGCCAAAGACUGCGGCAGAAACUUAGUAUUGUGCUAAAAGAAGAUGGAUAUCUUGGUGGAGACCUUGCUGGCAUAUCAUUCAGUUCAUGCUAUUUUUAAAAAAUCUAAUAAUUGAAAUUUUAACUCAGUUGGAAAACUUUCUCACCAAGAUAUUCAUUCUGGAAUUUUUUACUAUAUCAAUAAAAUUUACUUAUAACUACUGCCUGAUAAGUCAGAAUGGAUUUGCUUGCUUUUCCACUCAUAACAUUCAAAAGCUCCUGGCUUCCAUGUCUGCUGAAUGGGGAUUCUACAAAGUAAAUGGAGUUCCCCACACUUUCUUAUGAUAAAGAAUUUUUCAGUUCUGAAAUACUAAGGCUGCUUCUCCUUCAUUUAAUUUAUCUUUCAAAUUUUUAAGACAUAUAAAAAUAUCCCUUCUUUGAGAGGGUUUCCCCUCUUAUAAGUAAUUAAGAGAUACAGAAUUAAUUUAUCACAAGAUAGUGUUGAUAGCAGGAGGGUGAGUUAGUUGAUACUUGACCCCAUGGAAAAGCUGGUUGAUAUGGUUGACUGUGUUCCCACCCAAAUCUCAUCUUGAAUUGUAUUCCCCAUAAUUCUCACAUAUUGAGGGAUGGACCUGGUGGGAGGCGACUGGAUUAUAGGAGCAGUUUCCCCCAUGCUGUUCUCGUGAUAGUGAGUUCUC
RNAcentral lists this long non-coding RNA (4957 nucleotides) under Homo sapiens (human). RNAcentral describes it as "HSALNT0318282". The record is from RNAcentral. Lineage: Eukaryota; Metazoa; Chordata; Mammalia; Primates; Hominidae.